UACGAAGGGGGCUAGCGUUGCUCGGAAUGACUGGGCGUAAAGGGCGCGUAGGCGGAUGGCACAGUCAGAUGUGAAAUUCCCGGGCUUAACCUGGGGGCUGCAUUUGAUACGUGUUGUCUUGAGUUCGGAAGAGGGUCGUGGAAUUCCCAGUGUAGAGGUGAAAUUCGUAGAUAUUGGGAAGAACGCCGGUGGCGAAGGCGGCGACCUGGUCCGACACUGACGCUGAGGCGCGAAAGCGUGGGGAGCAAACAGG
RNAcentral lists this ribosomal RNA (253 nucleotides) under uncultured bacterium. RNAcentral describes it as "partial 16S ribosomal RNA". It matches the Rfam family "Bacterial small subunit ribosomal RNA", at positions 524 to 776 of the family's 1533-position model. The record is from RNAcentral.